Metopolophium dirhodum (rose-grain aphid) is the source of this 507-nucleotide long non-coding RNA. RefSeq lists it as uncharacterized. Lineage: Eukaryota; Metazoa; Arthropoda; Insecta; Hemiptera; Aphididae. The transcript is spliced from 3 exons. The record is from RefSeq and is a predicted model, not a curated record.
CGUUGUCUUUGUUACAUCAGACAUUUAUAACAAAGGUCUCUUCACAGCGUUAAAAAAUAUAUAAAUUAUAAUAAAUACCGAUCAAAACUGUGUCGAUAUUGUAUAAAUAAUAUAUGUACAUUGUAUAGUAUUUUUACAUACACGUAAUACGCUUGGGAUUCGGUUGUAUUGAGAUACCAAUAAUAAAUCUAACAUAAUACGUGUAAAACGGCGAACGGAGACUAAACUAUUGACGGAACACACUGUCCAACGCUGAAGAGGAGUAAAAAACAGUUGCAGAUAAAAUAUACACACCGCUCAGUCAGCGUCGCGGGCCAGUGGGACCGGUUCGGCGGUAUCGUCGCGAAAAUCCAACUGAGCCAGCGAUGUGUACAAUAUUCGUAGACGUACGUGGUGGCUGUCGAGUACACCGGACCUUCUUGGGAGCGAUCUGUAAUCUGAACCAUAGUUACACCCGCUCCCUUUUUUUGCUAGGACGAUUUUGGAGCUGGAGCUGCUUCUGGCGGA